AGCAGCCGCGGUAAUUCCAGCUCCAAUAGCGUAUAUUAAAGUUGUUGCAGUUAAAAAGCUCGUAGUUGAAUUUCGGGAUCAAUAUGUUGGUCGUGCCUUGGUACGUACUGGCAUUAUUGGUUCCUACCUUCUGAAGAACCUCGAUGUCAUUAAUUUGGUGUCUUGGGGAAUCAGGACUGUUACUUUGAAAAAAUUAGAGUGUUUAAAGCAGGCUCGCGCUUGAAUACAUUAGCAUGGAAUAAUGAAAUAGGACGUUUGAUUCUAUUUUGUUGGUUUCUAGGAUUGACGUAAUGAUUAAUAGGGAUAGUUGGGGGCAUUAGUAUUCAAUUGUCAGAGGUGAAAUUCUUGGAUUUAUUGAAGACUAAACUACUGCGAAAGCAUUUGCCUAAGGAUGUUUUCAUUAAUCAAGACGAAAGUUAGGGGAUCGAAGACGAUCAGAUACCGUCGUAGUCUUAACCAUAAACUAUGCCGACUAGGGAUCGGAUGAUGUUAAUUUUUAAUGACUCAUUCGGCGCCUUAA
RNAcentral lists this ribosomal RNA (520 nucleotides) under uncultured Glomus. RNAcentral's name for it is "SSU rRNA". It matches the Rfam family "Eukaryotic small subunit ribosomal RNA", at positions 569 to 1091 of the family's 1831-position model. Lineage: Eukaryota; Fungi; Glomeromycota; Glomeromycetes; Glomerales; Glomeraceae. The record is from RNAcentral.